RNAcentral lists this ribosomal RNA (238 nucleotides) under uncultured bacterium. Its description in RNAcentral is "partial 16S ribosomal RNA". It matches the Rfam family "Bacterial small subunit ribosomal RNA", at positions 540 to 776 of the family's 1533-position model. The record is from RNAcentral.
GUUGUUCGGAAUUACUGGGCGUAAAGGGUGCGCAGGCGGUCUCGUAAGCUGGGUGUGAAAGCCCCGGGCUUAACCUGGGAAUGGCAUUCAGGACUGCGAGGCUUUGAGUGUGGCAGAGGGAGGUGGAAUUCCACGUGUAGCAGUGAAGUGCGUAGAGAUGUGGAGGAACACCGAUGGCGAAGGCAGCCUCCUGGGCCAGCACUGACGCUCAUGCACGAAAGCGUGGGGAGCAAACAGG